Molecule: ribosomal RNA, 253 nt
Filed under: uncultured microorganism
Description: partial small subunit ribosomal RNA
Rfam family: Bacterial small subunit ribosomal RNA
Source: RNAcentral
UACGUAGGUGGCAAGCGUUGUCCGGAUUUACUGGGCGUAAAGGAUGCGUAGGCGGAUUUUUAAGUGAGAUGUGAAAUACCCGGGCUUAACUUGGGUGCUGCAUUUCAAACUGGGAAUCUAGAGUGCGGGAGAGGAGAAUGGAAUUCCUAGUGUAGCGGUGAAAUGCGUAGAGAUUAGGAAGAACACCAGUGGCGAAGGCGAUUCUCUGGACCGUAACUGACGCUGAGGCAUGAAAGCGUGGGUAGCAAACAGG